UAGGGAAUCUUCGGCAAUGGGGGCAACCCUGACCGAGCAACGCCGCGUGAGUGAAGAAGGUUUUCGGAUCGUAAAGCUCUGUUGUAAGAGAAGAACGAGUGUGAGAGUGGAAAGUUCACACUGUGACGGUAACUUACCAGAAAGGGACGGCUAACUACGUGCCAGCAGCCGCGGUAAUACGUAGGUCCCGAGCGUUAUCCGGAUUUAUUGGGCGUAAAGCGAGCGCAGGCGGUUAGAUAAGUCUGAAGUUAAAGGCUGUGGCUUAACCAUAGUACGCUUUGGAAACUGUUUAACUUGAGUGCAAGAGGGGAGAGUGGAAUUCCAUGUGUAGCGGUGAAAUGCGUAGAUAUAUGGAGGAACACCGGUGGCGAAAGCGGCUCUCUGGCUUGUAACUGACGCUGAGGCUCGAAAGCGUGGGGAGCAAACAGGAUUAGAUACCCUGGUAGUCCACGCCGUAAACGAUGAGUGCUAGGUGUUAGACCCUUUCCGGGGUUUAGUGCCGCAGCUAACGCAUUAAGCACUCCGCCUGGGGAGUACGACCGCAAGGUUG
Molecule: ribosomal RNA, 550 nt
Filed under: uncultured bacterium
Lineage: Bacteria
Description: bacterial SSU rRNA
Rfam family: Bacterial small subunit ribosomal RNA
Source: RNAcentral